ACACUCCGGUUUCUCUUCAAAUCGCAUAAAUCUUUCGCCUUUUACUAAAGAUUUCCGUGGAGAGAAACAAUUUUGAGUCUUAGCUUAAUUUUUUGAGACCUUCUUUUUGGAAGGUU
This 116-nucleotide small nuclear RNA is filed under the name Castor canadensis (American beaver). RNAcentral's name for it is "U5 spliceosomal RNA (ENSCCNG00000002986.1)". It matches the Rfam family "U5 spliceosomal RNA". From Rfam's summary of the family: U5 RNA is a component of both types of known spliceosome. The precise function of this molecule is unknown, though it is known that the 5' loop is required for splice site selection and p220 binding, and that both the 3' stem-loop and the Sm site are important for Sm protein binding and cap methylation. Lineage: Eukaryota; Metazoa; Chordata; Mammalia; Rodentia; Castoridae. The record is from Rfam by way of RNAcentral.